GGUUAAGCGACUAAGCGUACACGGUGGAUGCCCUGGCAGUCAGAGGCGAUGAAGGACGUGCUAAUCUGCGAAAAGCGUCGGUAAGGUGAUAUGAACCGUUAUAACCGGCGAUGUCCGAAUGGGGAAACCCAGUGCAAUUCGUUGCACUAUCGUUAACUGAAUACAUAGGUUAACGAGGCGAACCGGGGGAACUGAAACAUCUAAGUACCCCGAGGAAAAGAAAUCAACCGAGAUUCCCCCAGUAGCGGCGAGCGAACGGGGAGCAGCCCAGAGUCUGAAUCAGCUUGUGUGUUAGUGGAACGGUCUGGAAAGUCCGACGGUACAGGGUGAUAGUCCCGUACACCAAAAUGCACAGGCUGUGAACUCGAAGAGUAGGGCGGGACACGUGGUAUCCUGUCUGAAUAUGGGGGGACCAUCCUCCAAGGCUAAAUACUCCUGACUGACCGAUAGUGAACCAGUACCGUGAGGGAAAGGCGAAAAGAACCCCGGCGAGGGGAGUGAAAAAGAACCUGAAACCGUGUACGUACAAGCAGUGGGAGCACCUUCGGGUGUGACUGCGUACCUUUUGUAUAAUGGGUCAGCGACUUAUAUUCUGUAGCAAGGUUAACCGUAUAGGGGAGCCGCAGGGAAACCGAGUCUUAACUGGGCGUUAAGUUGCAGGGUAUAGACCCGAAACCCGGUGAUCUAGCCAUGGGCAGGUUGAAGGUUGGGUAACACUAACUGGAGGACCGAACCGACUAAUGUUGAAAAAUUAGCGGAUGACUUGUGGCUGGGGGUGAAAGGCCAAUCAAACCGGGAGAUAGCUGGUUCUCCCCGAAAGCUAUUUAGGUAGCGCCUCGUGAACUCAUCUUCGGGGGUAGAGCACUGUUUCGGCUAGGGGGUCAUCCCGACUUACCAACCCGAUGCAAACUACGAAUACCGAAGAAUGUUAUCACGGGAGACACACGGCGGGUGCUAACGUCCGUCGUGAAGAGGGAAACAACCCAGACCGCCAGCUAAGGUCCCAAAGUCAUGGUUAAGUGGGAAACGAUGUGGGAAGGCACAGACAGCCAGGAUGUUGGCUUAGAAGCAGCCAUCAUUUAAAGAAAGCGUAAUAGCUCACUGGUCGAGUCGGCCUGCGCGGAAGAUGUAACGGGGCUAAACCAUGCACCGAAGCUGCGGCAGCGACACUAUGUGUUGUUGGGUAGGGGAGCGUUCUGUAAGCCUGCGAAGGUGUGCUGUGAGGCAUGCUGGAGGUAUCAGAAGUGCGAAUGCUGACAUAAGUAACGAUAAAGCGGGUGAAAAGCCCGCUCGCCGGAAGACCAAGGGUUCCUGUCCAACGUUAAUCGGGGCAGGGUGAGUCGACCCCUAAGGCGAGGCCGAAAGGCGUAGUCGAUGGGAAACAGGUUAAUAUUCCUGUACUUGGUGUUACUGCGAAGGGGGGACGGAGAAGGCUAUGUUAGCCGGGCGACGGUUGUCCCGGUUUAAGCAUGUAGGCUGGUUAUCCAGGCAAAUCCGGAUAAUCAAGGCUGAGGUGUGAUGACGAGGCACUACGGUGCUGAAGUAACAAAUGCCCUGCUUCCAGGAAAAGCCUCUAAGCAUCAGGUAACAUUAAAUCGUACCCCAAACCGACACAGGUGGUCAGGUAGAGAAUACCAAGGCGCUUGAGAGAACUCGGGUGAAGGAACUAGGCAAAAUGGUGCCGUAACUUCGGGAGAAGGCACGCUGGUGUGUAGGUGAAGUCCCUGCGGAUGGAGCUGAGACCAGUCGAAGAUACCAGCUGGCUGCAACUGUUUAUUAAAAACACAGCACUGUGCAAACACGAAAGUGGACGUAUACGGUGUGACGCCUGCCCGGUGCCGGAAGGUUAAUUGAUGGGGUUAUCCGUAAGGAGAAGCUCUUGAUCGAAGCCCCGGUAAACGGCGGCCGUAACUAUAACGGUCCUAAGGUAGCGAAAUUCCUUGUCGGGUAAGUUCCGACCUGCACGAAUGGCGUAAUGAUGGCCAGGCUGUCUCCACCCGAGACUCAGUGAAAUUGAACUCGCUGUGAAGAUGCAGUGUACCCGCGGCAAGACGGAAAGACCCCGUGAACCUUUACUAUAGCUUGACACUGAACAUUGAGCCUUGAUGUGUAGGAUAGGUGGGAGGCUUUGAAGCGUGGACGCCAGUCUGCGUGGAGCCAACCUUGAAAUACCACCCUUUAAUGUUUGAUGUUCUAACGUUGGCCCCUGACCGGGGUUGCGGACAGUGUCUGGUGGGUAGUUUGACUGGGGCGGUCUCCUCCCAAAGCGUAACGGAGGAGCACGAAGGUUAGCUAAUCCUGGUCGGACAUCAGGAGGUUAGUGCAAUGGCAUAAGCUAGCUUGACUGCGAGCGUGACGGCGCGAGCAGGUGCGAAAGCAGGUCAUAGUGAUCCGGUGGUUCUGAAUGGAAGGGCCAUCGCUCAACGGAUAAAAGGUACUCCGGGGAUAACAGGCUGAUACCGCCCAAGAGUUCAUAUCGACGGCGGUGUUUGGCACCUCGAUGUCGGCUCAUCACAUCCUGGGGCUGAAGUAGGUCCCAAGGGUAUGGCUGUUCGCCAUUUAAAGUGGUACGCGAGCUGGGUUUAGAACGUCGUGAGACAGUUCGGUCCCUAUCUGCCGUGGGCGCUGGAGAAUUGAGGGGGGCUGCUCCUAGUACGAGAGGACCGGAGUGGACGCAUCACUGGUGUUCGGGUUGUCAUGCCAAUGGCACUGCCCGGUAGCUAAAUGCGGAAGAGAUAAGUGCUGAAAGCAUCUAAGCACGAAACUUGCCCCGAGAUGAGUUCUCCCUGAGACUUUAAGUCUCCUGAAGGAACGUUGAAGACGACGACGUUGAUAGGCCGGGUGUGUAAGCGCAGCGAUGCGUUGAGCUAACCGGUACUAAUGAACCGUGAGGCUUAACCUU
This 2902-nucleotide ribosomal RNA is filed under the name Klebsiella pneumoniae. RNAcentral describes it as "23S ribosomal RNA". It matches the Rfam family "Bacterial large subunit ribosomal RNA". Lineage: Bacteria; Pseudomonadati; Pseudomonadota; Gammaproteobacteria; Enterobacterales; Enterobacteriaceae. The record is from RNAcentral. RNAcentral also lists the same sequence under 1 other name.